ACAAAAGUGCCAAUACAGAAAUGAAAAAAAAAAGUAUGAUACAAUGUAGAAUGUCUCACAAUAGAGAUCAUAGAACUUUAGAAACAAUCUCAAUUCUAUUUCUUCCUGUGUUCUUUAUCUGUAGUAUCAAGAGAAUAUACUACAUAAUGUUUUAAUAUCCCAUUCUAGUUCAAUGCUGUGGUCAUAAAGAUAACGAAAAGAUUUGUAGAACAACCAAAAGUUAAAUGUACACGUGUGUUGAAGGAAAAAUGGAAAAGAAACAAUUUUAAUAGAACAAUGAAGUUGGAAUAACAAAAUUCCAAAAGAGUUUCUUACCAGGAGGUGGUUGUGAUGGGUUGAAACUUGCUCGUAAGAAAGGAGGUGGAGGAAUUGCACUAAAUCCUGGAGGAGGAACGGACAUUGACACUGGAAAUGUUGGUGGAACUAAACUAACUGUCUGCAAAUGUGGCUUGGAAAAAAACCAGAAGACAGUCUAUAAUUACUAUUACCACUGAAAGGAGCAAACCUCUGCCACAGAUGGACUUUCAGAGCUUCAGAAGGACAUCAGACGAUUCCCAAGCAGAAUUCCAAUACUUCUGGUUGACCACAGAUAAUAAAACCGUGGAAAGUUAA
Long non-coding RNA from Monodelphis domestica (gray short-tailed opossum), 612 nucleotides. RefSeq lists it as uncharacterized. NCBI's taxonomy places the organism in Eukaryota, Metazoa, Chordata, Mammalia, Didelphimorphia, Didelphidae. The record is from RefSeq and is a predicted model, not a curated record.